This 265-nucleotide long non-coding RNA is filed under the name Phascolarctos cinereus (koala). RNAcentral describes it as "lncRNA (ENSPCIG00000036879.1)". Lineage: Eukaryota; Metazoa; Chordata; Mammalia; Diprotodontia; Phascolarctidae. The record is from RNAcentral.
GAGGAAAUAAUCGUGUGGACAACUGUCACCAUGGUAAUGAGGGGCCCAGCUGCAAACAGGGGCCCUCUGAGGAGCUGGAGACAAGGGGAAGAGAGGAGGAGAUAACUUGGAAUCCUAGACCUUCAGAGACAGGACUCUUAGACAUUGGUCCCAACACUCGAACCCAGGCAUCUUGAUUCCAAGGUUUUCUCUUGUCACCUGCUGCGGCUUCACUGACUGCAUGAGGAAUUACUCAACUCUAGCUGCCAUGCAGUGCACUGGUUCC